Molecule: ribosomal RNA, 253 nt
Filed under: uncultured bacterium
Lineage: Bacteria
Description: partial 16S ribosomal RNA
Rfam family: Bacterial small subunit ribosomal RNA
Source: RNAcentral
CACGUAGGGCGCAAGCGUUGUCCGGAAUUACUGGGCGUAAAGGGCUCGUAGGCGGCCAACUAAGUCGGAUGUGAAAUCCCCAGGCUCAACUUGGGAACUGCAUCCGAUACUGGAUGGCUUGAAUUCGGGAGAGGGAUGCAGAAUUCCAGGUGUAGCGGUGAAAUGCGUAGAUAUCUGGAGGAAUACCGGUGGCGAAGGCGGCAUCCUGGACCGACAUUGACGCUGAGGAGCGAAAGCUAGGGGAGCAAACGGG